GAUGAACGCUAGCGGCAGGCCUAAUACAUGCAAGUCGAGGGGUAGUGGAGCUUGCUCCAUGAGACCGGCGCACGGGUGCGUAACGCGUAUGCAACCUACCUUCACCUGGGGGAUAGCCCGGAGAAAUCCGGAUUAACACCGCAUAAAAUCACAGUACCGCAUGGUACAAUGAUCAAACAUUCAUGGGGAGAAGAUGGGCAUGCGUGCCAUUAGAGUUGGCGGGGUAACGGCCCACCAAGACCGCGAUGGCUAGGGGAUCUGAGAGGAU
Molecule: ribosomal RNA, 268 nt
Filed under: uncultured bacterium
Lineage: Bacteria
Description: partial 16S ribosomal RNA
Rfam family: Bacterial small subunit ribosomal RNA
Source: RNAcentral